RNAcentral lists this ribosomal RNA (745 nucleotides) under uncultured bacterium. Its description in RNAcentral is "bacterial SSU rRNA". It matches the Rfam family "Bacterial small subunit ribosomal RNA", at positions 8 to 796 of the family's 1533-position model. The record is from RNAcentral.
AGAGUUUGAUCAUGGCUCAGAACGAACGCUGGCGGCAGGCCUAACACAUGCAAGUCGAACGGAUGUAGCAAUACAUUAGUGGCGCACGGGAGAGUAACGCGUGGGAACCUACCUUUUGGUUCGGGAUAACGUCGGGAAACUGACGCUAAUACCGGAUAAGCCCCUCGGGGGAAAGAUUUAUCGCCAAUUGAUGGGCCCGCGUUAGAUUAGCUAGUUGGUGAGGUAAUGGCUCACCAAGGCUACGAUCUAUAGCUGGUCUGAGAGGAUGAUCAGCCUCACUGGGACUGAGACACGGCCCAGACUCCUACGGGAGGCAGCAGUGGGGAAUAUUGGACAAUGGGGGCAACCCUGAUCCAGCCAUGCCGCGUGAAUGAUGAAGGCCUUCGGGUUGUAAAGUUCUUUUGGUGGGGACGAUGAUGACGGUACCCACAGAAUAAGCUCCGGCUAACUUCGUGCCAGCAGCCGCGGUAAUACGAAGGGGGCUAGCGUUGUUCGGAAUUACUGGGCGUAAAGGGCGCGUAGGCGGUUUGAUAAGUUGGGUGUGAAAGCCCAGGGCUCAACCCUGGAACUGCACUCAAGACUGUUUUACUUGAAUUCGGUAGAGGAUGGUGGAAUUCCCAGUGUAGAGGUGAAAUUCGUAGAUAUUGGGGAAGAAUAUCCGUGGCGAAGGCGGCCAUCUGGACCGACAUUGACGCUGAGGCGCGAAAGCGUGGGGAUCAAACAGGAUUAGAUACCCUAGUAGUCC